RNAcentral lists this transfer RNA (77 nucleotides) under Bacillota bacterium. Its description in RNAcentral is "tRNA-Arg". It matches the Rfam family "tRNA". From Rfam's summary of the family: Transfer RNA (tRNA) molecules are approximately 80 nucleotides in length. Their secondary structure includes four short double-helical elements and three loops (D, anti-codon, and T loops). RNAcentral also lists the same sequence under 1 other name. The record is from RNAcentral. Lineage: Bacteria; Bacillati; Bacillota.
GCACUAGUAGCUCAGUUGGAUAGAGCAGUGCCCUUCUAAGGCAAAGGUCAGGGGUUCGAAUCCCUUCUGGUGCACCA